AGUGAACGCUGGCGGUAGGCCUAACACAUGCCAGUCGAACGGCAGCACAGUAAGAGCUUGCUCUUACGGGUGGCGAGUGGCGGACGGGUGAGGAAUACAUCGGAAUCUACUUUUUCGUGGGGGAUAACGUAGGGAAACUUACGCUAAUACCGCAUACGACCUACGGGUGAAAGCAGGGGAUCUUCGGACCUUGCGCGAUUGAAUGAGCCGAUGUCGGAUUAGCUAGUUGGCGGGGUAAAGGCCCACCAAGGCGACGAUCCGUAGCUGAUCUGAGAGGAUGAUCAGCCACACUGGAACUGAGACACGGUCCAGACUCCUACGGGAGGCAGCAGUGGGGAAUAUUGGACAAUGGGCGCAAGCCUGAUCCAGCCAUACCGCGUGGGUGAAGAAGGCCUUCGGGUUGUAAAGCCCUUUUGUUGGGAAAGAAAAGCAGCAGGUUAAUACCCCGCUGUUCUGACGGUACCUAAAGAAUAAGCACCGGCUAACUUCGUG
Molecule: ribosomal RNA, 492 nt
Filed under: uncultured bacterium
Lineage: Bacteria
Description: partial 16S ribosomal RNA
Rfam family: Bacterial small subunit ribosomal RNA
Source: RNAcentral